RNAcentral lists this transfer RNA (75 nucleotides) under Candidatus Woesearchaeota archaeon. RNAcentral's name for it is "tRNA-Arg". It matches the Rfam family "tRNA". Rfam says of the family: Transfer RNA (tRNA) molecules are approximately 80 nucleotides in length. Lineage: Archaea; Nanobdellati; Candidatus Woesearchaeota. The record is from RNAcentral.
GCGCCUGCAGCUUAGUUUGGAUUGAGCGUGCGGUUCCUAACCUCAAGAUCGGGGGUUCAAAUCCUCCCAGGCGCG